Molecule: ribosomal RNA, 253 nt
Filed under: uncultured bacterium
Lineage: Bacteria
Description: partial 16S ribosomal RNA
Rfam family: Bacterial small subunit ribosomal RNA
Source: RNAcentral
UACGAAGGGGGCUAGCGUUGUUCGGAAUCACUGGGCGUAAAGCGCAUGCAGGCGGAUUGUUAAGUCGGGGGUGAAAUCCCGAGGCUCAACCUCGGAACUGCCUUCGAUACUGGCAAUCUUGAGUCCGGGAGAGGUGAGUGGAACUGCGAGUGUAGAGGUGAAAUUCGUAGAUAUUCGCAAGAACACCAGUGGCGAAGGCGGCCGACUGGUCCGGUUCUGACGCUGAGGCGCGAAAGCGUGGGGAGCAAACAGG